UGGGGAAUUUUGGACAAUGGGCGCAAGCCUGAUCCAGCAAUGCCGCGUGCAGGAAGAAGGCCUUCGGGUUGUAAACUGCUUUUGUACGGAACGAAACGGCUCUGGUUAAUACCCGGGGCUAAUGACGGUACCGUAAGAAUAAGCACCGGCUAACUACGUGCCAGCAGCCGCGGUAAUACGUAGGGUGCAAGCGUUAAUCGGAAUUACUGGGCGUAAAGCGUGCGCAGGCGGUUUUGUAAGACAGGCGUGAAAUCCCCGGGCUCAACCUGGGAAUGGCGCUUGUGACUGCAAAGCUGGAGUGCGGCAGAGGGGGAUGGAAUUCCGCGUGUAGCAGUGAAAUGCGUAGAUAUGCGGAGGAACACCGAUGGCGAAGGCAAUCCCCUGGGCCUGCACUGACGCUCAUGCACGAAAGCGUGGGGAGCAAACAGGAUUAGAUACCCUGGUAGUCCACGCCCUAAACGAUGUCAACUGGUUGUUGGGUCUCUUCUGACUCAGUAACGAAGCUAACGCGUGAAGUUGACCGCCUGGGGAGUACGGCCGCAAGGUUG
RNAcentral lists this ribosomal RNA (548 nucleotides) under Hydrogenophaga sp. enrichment culture. RNAcentral's name for it is "bacterial SSU rRNA". It matches the Rfam family "Bacterial small subunit ribosomal RNA", at positions 355 to 896 of the family's 1533-position model. The record is from RNAcentral. Lineage: Bacteria; Pseudomonadati; Pseudomonadota; Betaproteobacteria; Burkholderiales; Comamonadaceae.